GAUGAAGAACGUAGCGAAAUGCGAUACUUGGUGUGAAUUGCAGAAUCCCGUGAACCAUCGAGUCUUUGAACGCAAGUUGCGCCCGAAGCCAUUAGGCCGAGGGCACGCCUGCCUGGGCGUCACACGUCGUUGCCCCCCCCAUCUACUCCUUCGGGAUUGCGGGGGGCGGAUGAUGGCCUCCCGUGCGCCUCGCCGCGCGGUUGGCAUAAAUGCCAAGUCCUCGGCGACGCACGCCACGACAAUCGGUGGUUGCGAAACCUCGGUUGCCCGUCGUGCGCGGUCGUCGCGCAUCGAGGGCUCGAAAAAAUUGCCGAGUUCCGGCUCGGCUUUCAACGCGACCCCAGGUCAGGCGGGGUUACCCGCUGAAUUUAAGCAUAUCAAUAAGCGGAGGA
Molecule: unclassified non-coding RNA, 392 nt
Filed under: soil metagenome
Description: partial contains 5.8S ribosomal RNA, internal transcribed spacer 2, and large subunit ribosomal RNA
Rfam family: 5.8S ribosomal RNA (bases 1-122)
Source: RNAcentral